Molecule: small nuclear RNA, 142 nt
Organism: Nothobranchius furzeri (turquoise killifish)
Lineage: Eukaryota; Metazoa; Chordata; Actinopteri; Cyprinodontiformes; Nothobranchiidae
Product: U4 spliceosomal RNA
Source: RefSeq, a predicted model, not a curated record
AUUUUUGCACAGUGGCAGUAUCAUAGCCUAUGAGGUUCAUCCGAGGCGUGAUUAUUGCUAGUUGAAAACUUUACCAAAUACCCCGCCUUGGUUAUUUGAAAUAUAAUCAUCAAAGGCAAUUUUUUGACAGUCUCAAUGGAGA